UCUCCAGGUACUCCGGUUUCCUCCCAUAGUCCAAAGACCUGCUGUUUAAAUUGCCCUCUGUGUGUGUGUGUGUGUGUGAGUGUGUGUGUGGUGCCCUGCGAUGGACUGGCGUCCUGUCAGGGUGUAGUCCUGCCUUGCAUUGCCCUCUGUCUACUGGGUUAGGCGCCGGCUCACUGUGACCCUCUAAAGGAAUAAGCUGUUAUGAUAGUGGAUGGAUGGAUGGGAGUCAUCUAAACAGUUUAAUUAUUUUAUUGUUGUGAUUUUUUUACUUUAUUUUAUUCACAGGCCAAAGCAUAGCUAUGAAUGUUCCACUGCCUCCAUUAAGCGAGUAUGUAAAAAGACAUCUGAAGGAAAAUGAAUCUGUCAUGGUAUGGUCAAAAAUGAUUGAGGAAAGUGCACGCUACUACCUGGGCCUAUUUCCACACAUUGGCCAAAGUGCAGAAUACCGCAGCAUGGGACACAAAUUUUACCAGACCUAUCCCACAAUCAAGCAGGAAGGAAAUGAACCCUGGUCUUUCUGCAAAUCCUACAGUGCUCGCAUUUGAGAUGGAGUGAGAAAAGAAAGUCUUCUGGAGGUGAAACACCACUAAAAAAACAAAGGAGUUUCACUGUUGCAAUGGGUCACUGCUCAAAUGCAAUAGUGAUGACUAUGAGAGAAAUGUGUCUGAGCUAUCCAAGGAAUGGGCAAAGCCACAGCCCAAUGAAAAUCAUAUAAAAAUGCUUUUAAAAGAGACACACAAAGGACGUCAAAUGUGGUUGUCCACAGUCCCGGUGGGGACAUGAAAACAGUCAUGGACAAGUUUCCUUGUUUUGAACAGGGAAAGUAUGUGAUAUAUGACUUCAUUUUAGGAACUGGAAAGAAGGAUCAGAAUGAAUUCUCAAAAACAAAAAUCAUACAGCUGCUUACUGCUGUGAAGGAGUUGAUGAGGGAAGACUCCAUUAAUAUGCAGUUGCUGACUGAGAAGAAGUUGUUAUAAGGCAUUGAUGCAGACAAGAUGGCUUCCCAAUUAAUAGCACUAGCCCCGAAGACUCAAUUAAAGCAGAUGUGUGUAAAAAAAUUAAUAAACAGCUGCUUGAAUGACCUAGAGAAGAAAGGUUUGGAGUUGACUGCAGCAAUAUUACUUCUACCAUCCCUGUUAAAAGAAGAUUCGUCAACUUUAUUUGUGAUAGAUCAAGUACAUUUUGAUUGAUCGGUUGUUUCCUUCUUUUACUGCUUGUAGGCUGAAUGUAAGAGAAUGAAAAAGAAACAUUGCAACUAACAGAUAUAUUUACAUUUUGUAUACCUUUUGCAUGUACUAUAUAUUACUAUUUGAUCAAAACAAAAGUUUGUAAAUGUUUUAGAAUAUUUUUUCUGAUAUUAUGUAAACAUAAGUGGCCUUUCCUUCCACCCCAUGUGCAUUUGUAAUAGGUCUUAUGUAUAUUCAGCCAGUGCAAUUAUCCUAUCAGAAACAUUUUGAAUAACCUCUGUCCAUAAUGUUUUUUUUUGUUGUUGUUUUGUACUGUAUUUUUUUAUUUUUUUUUUGACAUGUAUGGGUUUCUGAAUUUAAAAAAUAUAUAUUUCAGGACCCAGCCCUCCCAACCCCUGUGAUUUGUUUUACAUGACUGUACAGAGGGAACUCCUAUGUCAUAUGAGAGAGUGACCGUCGUAAUGGAUGGCCAGUCCAUGCUAACUGAUGAUUUGAAUCUAGAUGCGUCUCUUUCUUUGGGGGCUGUCUGUUUUUUCUUUAUAUUAUAUAUUUGGUAUUGAAUAUCCAAAGCAGACGAGGAAGACAAUGAGCUUUUUGGAGGCAUUUGUCUUCAAACUUAAUACUUUAAAGUAUUAAAAGACUAUAUAAUGCUGUUUCGGCCUGUGUUUAGAAAAUAAACACAUAAAGUGAUCAUUAAGGUUCUGUUCUGAAAGAGCUGCAGAAAUGUUUAGUGUAUUAAGUUUGUUUUUACUGGAGUUUACUGGAGAAAAUGUGAAGGAAGUCUCUAACUCUUUCAUUUUAAUUAAUUUACUUAAUUUCAAUUUAAUUAUGUACAUAUUUUAUGAUUGUAUUUAAUAAAUGGAGCUGCU
This is a long non-coding RNA of Acipenser ruthenus (sterlet), 2056 nucleotides long. RefSeq lists it as uncharacterized. Lineage: Eukaryota; Metazoa; Chordata; Actinopteri; Acipenseriformes; Acipenseridae. The record is from RefSeq and is a predicted model, not a curated record. The transcript is spliced from 5 exons.